RNAcentral lists this ribosomal RNA (465 nucleotides) under uncultured bacterium. RNAcentral describes it as "partial 16S ribosomal RNA". It matches the Rfam family "Bacterial small subunit ribosomal RNA", at positions 338 to 795 of the family's 1533-position model. The record is from RNAcentral.
CCUACGGGCGGCAGCAGUAGGGAAUCUUCCACAAUGGGCGAAAGCCUGAUGGAGCAACGCCGCGUGGGUGAAGAAGGUCUUCGGAUCGUAAAACCCUGUUGUUAGAGAAGAAAGUGCGUGAGAGUAACUGUUCACGUUUCGACGGUAUCUAACCAGAAAGCCACGGCUAACUACGUGCCAGCAGCCGCGGUAAUACGUAGGUGGCAAGCGUUAUCCGGAUUGAUUGGGCGUAAAGGGAACACAGGCGGUCUUUUAAGUCUGAUGUGAAAGCCUUCGGCUUAACCGGAGUAGUGCAUUGGAAACUGGGAGACUUGAGUGCAGAAGAGGAGAGUGGAACUCCAUGUGUAGCGGUGAAAUGCGUAGAUAUAUGGAAGAACACCAGUGGCGAAAGCGGCUCUCUGGUCUGUAACUGACGCUGAGGUUCGAAAGCGUGGGUAGCAAACAGGAUUAGAUACCCCUGUAGUC